UAAGUAUACAAAGAGAAGUGGUUUUAGGCGGAUCUUUUCCCAAAAAGGAUCAGGGUUUAAACACAAGAUCUGAGCGUUUGAAAUCAAUAAUCGAGUGAACAAAUUUUGAUUUUACUAUAUCGCUCUCUUUCUCUUCUUUCUUUCUCUCUCCCCCUCUCUACAUCUCAUUUUUCAAAAUACAGAGAUAUUAUGGCCGACAAGAAAGAAAGAGCUUGUGGUGAUGGAAUGAGUAGCUGGAAGAGAAAACAAAAAAUGGUGGUGGUGGUGGUCGGUGCUGCGGUUGGGAGAGCGUUUGCCAAAGAAAAUAUAAGACGACGGCAGAGGCUCCGGGUCUAUUUCCAGCGAGCAGUAGAGAUGAAGAACAAUUAGUCAGAGGUUACGGUGAUUGUUGAUGCAGCAUCGAGUAGAAAGAAUAGUGGUUGCAGUGAGUGGUGUUGCAACCGUUAGUGAAGAAGGAGCAGCUGGGAGCAAGUUGACGAUACCGAUACAGAGAACGAAGAGAGCUGAGAUCCUACCGUCGGUGGUGUUACAGAGGUUGAAGUUGGACUAGGUUUAGUUGGCAGAGGAGCUAAUGGUAGUAUGGCUGAUUUGUAGUGAUUACGGCUACACUCCUUCCAGCAGCUUCGAAUCAUCUUCAACUGGUGCGUAUAAGGUAUCUAUUUUAGAAGUCUACUGUGAUGGAAUUGAUGGCAAAGUAACAUGCUCAAAUACCUGCUGGAAGAUUGGAAAAGCUGCUUGGGAGAUGAUAAAGAAGACUGCUACAUAUCAAGACAGCGUCAAGCUUUAGAAGGAUGAAUUUGGAAAAAAUAAAAAAGCUUACUUAAAGAUAUUGUGCAACAGCUAAAAGUAUCGAAAUUUUACAACUUUGCUUAGCCGUCAUUGCAGUGUUUAAAGGAGGCACCAAAAGACUGCUUUUGAAGAGAAAUCUACUCUGGCUAAGGACGAGGCUGAACUUUCAAUAUUGGAAAAAAAAAAAGAAAGUGCAGUUGAAGAUGUGCAAUAGCUAAAAGUUACCAGAACAUUUUUUUGGAAUUUUUUCGUGGCCUUCGAGUUCUUGGGAAAUUGAUUCGCAACAGUAAAUCCAAGAAGGACAUGUUUGUUGUCAUCUCCGAUGAAGUCUUUGAUUGCCUGCAACCUCCCCCAGGUAACACUAUCCUUUAUAAUUUCCUUUCAUUGCAUUUUGCAUUUAUCUUGUUAUUAAAGGAAGGAAAAUAUUGCUGCCCAGGAUGGUUGAAAUUGAUGCUAGAAAUUGAAAUUUUGACAUUAAAUUUCUGCACUUUAUGCCUCAUUUGACGAGUGAUAACAUUUUUAUCAAGUCCAAAGAUAUAUUUCAUGUUAGAGUUUAAUUUAACGUUAUUUAGACCACCUCAAUUAUACUGGAACUUUAAUCAUAGGUUGAAAGCAAUCUUUUUUCUCAUUCAGGAUUUUGAUGGUUCCUUUGAAAGAAGUGGUUAGUUUAGGAAUUUCAUCUAUUAGCAACAAUCUAGAAGAAUUGAUUUUCAAUAAUUGGAAUAUGUAAAAUAAAUCUGUUAUUUUGGUUUCUAAUUGAAAUCAAUGGCUGUGUUCUUAAUCCAAUAUAAGAUAAAAGGUAUCUACUGCAUUUAUGUGCAUUCAAUAUAAUAGUUUUUUGUGAUUUCUACAAAAUUUUCUAUUACUGGACAUGCUUUGGGCCUAAGAUAAAGAAGAUUUUUUAUAGCUGCAAGAGCAAUCUGAAUUGUUCUGCAAUUGCAAGUAAAAUUUUUAGUCUCUAUAAUUCUUUGUUGUGGUCCCCGAUGGAGUCUUUGAUUAUGCCAACAAUGUCCUCCAGGUAAUACUAUCCUUUAUAAUUUCCUUUUGUUGCCAUUUGCAUUUAUGUUGUUAUUAGAGGAAUGAAAAGAUUGCUGCCUAGGAUGGUGGAUAUUGACUUUAUAUAAUGAAAUUGACAUUAAAUUUCUACAUUUUAUGCCUCAUUUAACAUGAUUGAUAACAUUUUUAUCCAGUUCAAUAAUAUAUUUAAUGUUAUAUAGACCUUUCCAGAGGUGUACGCAUAUAUUAAGUUGAGUUGUUUCAUAAAAUGCUGGAGUAAAACAGCAUCACACUUAAAAAAAGCAGAGAAGUACAAAGAAGUAAAUGUUAUGCCCUUGAUGUUAUGAACUUGGAUGUAGAUGCUCGAUUGCGGGUUAGAAGUACGGAGAAGAAGGCAGAGAUAAUAAGAGAUGUAUUCAUCAUAAUUUUGUGUUAUUGCUGAAAGUUUUAAAUUGCUCUCUUUUGCCUUUUGUGUUGUUCCUCGCUCCCCCUCUGAUUUGCACUUCUAUGUAUUCAAUUUUAAAGAUUUUAUUUUCAUCUUAGAUGAUAACAACUUGAGCUGUUCACUA
Long non-coding RNA from Arachis duranensis, 2354 nucleotides. RefSeq lists it as uncharacterized. The record is from RefSeq and is a predicted model, not a curated record. The transcript is spliced from 6 exons. Lineage: Eukaryota; Viridiplantae; Streptophyta; Magnoliopsida; Fabales; Fabaceae.